This 244-nucleotide ribosomal RNA is filed under the name uncultured bacterium. RNAcentral describes it as "partial small subunit ribosomal RNA". It matches the Rfam family "Bacterial small subunit ribosomal RNA", at positions 26 to 285 of the family's 1533-position model. The record is from RNAcentral.
AGAAUCAACGCUGGCGGCGUGCCUAACACAUGCAAGUCGAACGAGAAAGUGGAGCAAUCCAUGAGUAAAGUGGCGCACGGGUGAGUAACACGUGACUAACCUACCCUGGAGUGGGGGAUAACUGAGGGAAACCUUAGCUAAUACCGCAUAAUACCUACGGGUCAAAGGAGCAAUUCGCUUUGGGAGGGGUCGCGGCCGAUUAGUUAGUUGGCGGGGUAAUGGCCCACCAAGACUGUGAUCGGUA